Molecule: transfer RNA, 72 nt
Filed under: Sphaerodactylus townsendi
Lineage: Eukaryota; Metazoa; Chordata; Lepidosauria; Squamata; Sphaerodactylidae
Description: tRNA-Ala
Rfam family: tRNA
About the family: Transfer RNA (tRNA) molecules are approximately 80 nucleotides in length. Their secondary structure includes four short double-helical elements and three loops (D, anti-codon, and T loops).
Source: RNAcentral
GCAGAUGUGGCUCAGUGGAAGAGCAUCUGCCUGGCAUGCAGAAGGUCCCAGAUUCAAGCCCCACCAUCUCCA